RNAcentral lists this long non-coding RNA (2470 nucleotides) under Heterocephalus glaber (naked mole-rat). Its description in RNAcentral is "lncRNA (ENSHGLG00000042139.1)". The record is from RNAcentral. Lineage: Eukaryota; Metazoa; Chordata; Mammalia; Rodentia; Bathyergidae.
GCCUGCGGGGCCCGGCUUCUCCCCGGGGAGGUGGCGCCUCAAGGUCGACCUCUGCUGUGAUGCAGACAGGAUCCUGCUGCAGUCCCCUCAGUCCACUUAGUAAAUUGCUGUGUGGGCCAAGAUGUGGACUCCGCCGGCCCCGACCCUCCGCUGUUCCCGGUCCCGGAUUAGCUAAUGAAUACCCGCGUAGCCACAGACCCCGAGCCCGCAGACUGCGCUCAGAUGCCAGCACUGAGGGUUAUUUUAUUUUAGGUACCGCGGGCUGUGUGUGGCAGGGACAAUUACACAAGCUAAAGUCAUCGAUUUCCACUGAAAAUCCUGCUGUCUCCUCCAGCUGAAUUAUGGUGGCAGCUUUUUUUUUUUUUUUUUUAAACAGCCCAUCUUCAAACAGUGAGGAGGUGGAAGCUGAGGUUCCUUUCUCCACGCACCUUCCAGCGACUUCUGCUCAAGAACUGACCUCUAUGUCUGCCUCCCAACGCUGGCAUCGCACCUUGCUCUGCGAGAGACCCUUGUGUCAGCGCUCUUGAGCUGUAUUGAUUUUCAGAAGACUUUUAAGUAUAAAUCACAUUUUCCCCAAACUGAAUCACAACUCUAACAAAUCCCAGCUACGCAGAAAAGCCUAGUUGGGUCCUGUGGUAUAACCUAAAUUGAUAUUCUCCAUAAAUCCACAGCUAUUGCAUUCAUAUAUUCACAUUUCCUAUUCAAGGUGGUAAAGGAAGUGCAAUUUUAAAGAAAUGAUUAUUUAUACUCCCUGGUGUUCAGGCUUGAGGGGUUCAAGAGACAUUCAGACAGCUCUCAGAAGAACAUAAACCUUGCAAAAGUACAUGGAAUUUAUCAACGACAUUGACAUAGGGCCCACGUGACGUAUAUGUUCAAUAUUAAAGACGUUUGCUCUCUCUAAUAGUUAAAAGCCACGAGGGAAAUUUGUAAAAACUCCAGUCUAAUUAAAGUUUGUACUUGAAAUUCCAGAUUCCAUGUGGCGUGAACAUUUCUGAGCUUUUCAUCAGAAGAGGAAGGGUCGGGUUUUCAAGUAGACGCGUGUAAAGACUUCGGGACAGAGGCACCUGCGGCUUGAACGAGUGGCCCCGUUAGCUCCUGGGGAAACAAUACCAGAUCAAGAGCAUCCUUCCUCCGUGUCUACCCCAGAAGCUGCCUGACUUCUAGAUGAUGCCAGCACCUGCAGUCCUGACGCAUCUCUGCCUUCUGAAACUGCACGUUCUGCCUGCCAGCAAUUCACAGACACACGAACACUCCCAUGUCUUAUUUAAAUUGUAAACCUUUCUCGAUCCAGCCUCUCUGCGGAUUAUAGCCUCUCCCUCCCUCUGCAGUGAACUUCCGGAAAGUUUCAAAGUGCAGUCUGCAUUCUUUAUCAACUUCCUCCUCCUUCAUCUCCUUCACCCUCACACCCUGCAAAACUCCACUCAGAGCCAGCACACUGCACAGAUGUCUCUCAGUCCCCCCUCUUCCCCUGGCCUUGACAGCUUUGCACACUGGGGACUGCAUGCUCUGUCCUUGACUUGGGGUUUCCUGGCAGCACCUGGAGGGGCCUGGCUGCAACUCUUCUCUGCUAAGGUUCCCAUGAAUCCCUGGAGUCUUUCAUGGUGUGAACGGCUACUUUUUUUGGGUCGUGUUUAUUGAAAAGUUUCAGAAACUUCUGCAUCCUUAGUUCCCCAAGUUAGGGUUUUUAACUAUUACUUCUCUCUGGAGGGAAUCAGGGCUGGUUGGAGAAGGCUGAUUUCGUAAACAGAAUGGGGUAACCUCUAACACAGCCUUGCACUGGAAAGCAGGGAUGCACUAGGAGCCUUCUGAGGUCUUGGGACAAGCUGGGGCAAAACUGGCACAGCUUAAUGUCACAAACAGCCGUAACUGCAGUGGCUCCAAAACAUUUCAAUUACGUUGAAGUCUAUUUGUUCAUAAUGUUAUUUUCUAAAAUACAUUGAUUACCUUUGAAGAGUGCUAAGGAACCCAACUCAUUAUUUUUAAAAGCUGGCAAAGAAAAGAAACGAAGUGACCAUUUAUUAUCUUGACUUUCUUGUACAAACUAUCCCCAGACUAUAACCAAAUAAUUGAUGAUGGCAAGUUUCUCUCCAUAGAUGCAAGCCAGCUAAUAAGUGAGGCAGGGAUGUUAGAAUUAGAAUAGCACAGUUUUGCAGGCCCUUAUGAUUUAGUGAAUCUUGGCAUUGAAUGUAUAUGGCAGAGGGACAGAGGGAGAGAGAGAGCAAACCCAUCCCAGAUGGAAGCCCACCACGCUGCCUGUAGCCUGUCCUUCCUCAGAUAAUCAAACCUGACUCUGGCCAAGCCUGUACAGCAUAGGAUUCUCCAGGGGCCCAAAUCUGGCCCACAUUUGUAGAAAUAAAAGUUCUAUGGAAGAUAGCCACAUGCAUUUGUUCAGGGAGCUGUGACAGGCAGUGUCAGCCACAGAGCUUCGUGUAUUUACCAUCACUUACGAGACAAUUAGAGGGAUAUAAAC